Molecule: non-coding RNA, 325 nt
Organism: Arachis ipaensis
Lineage: Eukaryota; Viridiplantae; Streptophyta; Magnoliopsida; Fabales; Fabaceae
Source: RefSeq, a predicted model, not a curated record
GGGUAAUCCUACAGAAUGUGAUAGAUGUCUCUAGGUUAUUCAUUAAUCCUGACAUUCCUGAGGCUGUUGAGUUCCUAAGCAGAUUUAGUGUAGCCAGUUAUGGAUUCUCAAGCCUUGUGACCAAUGACCUUGGAUACUUAGUUUCUAAAGUUGAUGGUGAUUAUUUCAAUUCCAAAGAGAUCAGUAAUAUUCAAGAUCUUCAUUCAGAUAAUGGGGAUUCUCAUUACUUUGUUAUUGGGACAAUUAAGGAAGUUAUAGAUGAACCAGAUUGGUGGUACUACUCAUGUCUAUAUGGUCAUGCCGUUGUUGAGCAUGAGGAUCUCUA